GUGAGGAAUAUUGGUCAAUGGGCGAGAGCCUGAACCAGCCAAGUCGCGUGAAGGAAGACGGCCCUACGGGUUGUAAACUUCUUUUGCAAUGGAAUAAAAAGAGUUACGUGUAAUUCAUUGUAUGUACAUUGCAAAUAAGGAUCGGCUAACUCCGUGCCAGCAGCCGCGGUAAUACGGAGGAUCCGAGCGUUAUCCGGAUUUAUUGGGUUUAAAGGGUGCGUAGGCGGAUUGGAAAGUCAGCGGUGAAAGUUUGCAGCUUAACUGUAAAAUUGCCAUGGAAACUGUCAGUCUUGAGUGCAAAUGAGGUAGGCGGAAUGUGUUGUGUAGCGGUGAAAUGCAUAGAUAUAACACAGAACACCAAUUGCGAAGGCAGCUUACUGGGAUGCAACUGACGCUGAGGCACGAAAGCGUGGGGAUCAAACAGGAUUAGAAACCCCAGUAGUCC
This 445-nucleotide ribosomal RNA is filed under the name uncultured bacterium. RNAcentral's name for it is "partial 16S ribosomal RNA". It matches the Rfam family "Bacterial small subunit ribosomal RNA", at positions 354 to 796 of the family's 1533-position model. The record is from RNAcentral.